Lactuca sativa (garden lettuce) is the source of this 658-nucleotide long non-coding RNA. RefSeq lists it as uncharacterized. Lineage: Eukaryota; Viridiplantae; Streptophyta; Magnoliopsida; Asterales; Asteraceae. The record is from RefSeq and is a predicted model, not a curated record.
UUGUUUUUUCUUUUAAAUGCUUUUCUAAUAUUUUUGUUUAUAGUCGGCGUAUAUUUUUUCUAAAGUUAAAACUAUAGUUUAUAAAAAGACUAUAGAGUAUAGACCUGAAUAGGUUUGCACAACCUCUUGUAGAAAAUAUAGAAUAGACCGUCUAACUAAAAAAAAAUCAACCUUAUUUCUUGUCAGGGCCGGCCCAGGUACUGGGCGGCUUGGGCAAUGGCCCAGGGCAUCAGGUUAUUGGUGGCAUAAGUAUGAGCCCGUAUAGGUAUAUCAGUGUAUAUGAAGAAAUUCUGGCCCAUUUUCUUCAAUCAGAUCUACAUCACCCUAUUCAGCUGGAGAGGAGUUAUGACAGCAAAAAAAAUAAUAAUGAUAAUAAUUGGGCGCGUGCGGUAGAACAGAAGUCGAAGAGGCAAGUCAGAAAUUUCAACACAGGUUGUUAUAAUGAAGAUUUUAGAGUUAAGUUAGAGGUUAUCUUCCUAUCUUCAGUUAUUAUGGGAUUGGGCAAAACUAAGUUCAAAUUUGUAUUCCGACUUUUAGAGACAAUGGUUACUUUUUAUCGCAAAAACACAUUUGGAUUCGAGUGAAAAUAUUCGAUGCCCUGUUUGAAUACAUUAGCUUGGCUGUAGCACAAAAAGUUAAAUUUAUAUUUGUUUGGUCA